UUAGAGGCAUGCCUGCCCAGUGACACCAGUUUAACGGCCGCGGUAUUCUGACCGUGCAAAGGUAGCAUAAUCACUUGUUCUCCAAAUAAGGACUUGUAUGAAUGGCCACACGAGGGUUUUACUGUCUCUUACUUCCAAUCAGUGAAAUUAACCUUCCCGUGAAGAGGCGGGAAUAAAAAAAUAAGACGAGAAGACCCUAUGGAGCUUUAAUUAACUAUUCCAAAAGUUAAACAACUCAACCACAAAGGGAUAAAACAUAACUUAACAUGGACUAGCAAUUUCGGUUGGGGUGACCUCGGAGUACAAAAAACCCUCCGAGUGAUUUUAAUCUAGACAAACCAGUCAAAAUAAUCAUAACAUCACUUAUUGAUCCAAAAUUUUGAUCAACGGAACAAGUUACCCUAGGGAUAACAGCGCAAUCCUGUUCUAGAGUUCCUAUCGACAAUAGGGUUUACGACCUCGAUGUUGGAUCAGGACACCCAAAUGGUGCAACCGCUAUUAAA
RNAcentral lists this ribosomal RNA (503 nucleotides) under Sus scrofa (pig). Its description in RNAcentral is "partial large subunit ribosomal RNA". It matches the Rfam family "Bacterial large subunit ribosomal RNA", at positions 1847 to 2569 of the family's 2925-position model. The record is from RNAcentral. Lineage: Eukaryota; Metazoa; Chordata; Mammalia; Artiodactyla; Suidae.